CAACUUUCACAACAGGAUCUCUUGGCUCUCKCAUCGAUGAAGAACGCA
RNAcentral lists this ribosomal RNA (48 nucleotides) under Russula subcremeiceps. Its description in RNAcentral is "partial 5.8S ribosomal RNA". Lineage: Eukaryota; Fungi; Basidiomycota; Agaricomycetes; Russulales; Russulaceae. The record is from RNAcentral.